UGGCUCUGGAGUUCUAGAAAAAUAAAAUACCCAGAGCCUGGAGACUGAUGGGCUGCCACAGCCAGGGAAAGGGCUGUGACAGAGAUGAUGCGGACAGGCCUAGAAGGAGGCAGGAGCCAGCGUGUCCUCGUUCCUCAUCCGGGCUUCCAGCCCCCUCUGUGCCACCUACCGACAGCCGGAAGCCUACGAGCCCAGGAGAGAUAUGGUUGGCAGAGUCCCCGCUGUCCCACUCUGGAUGGACUGGCGCUGAGGGGCGAUAGCUUAAGACCCGGCACGGAGGUCUUCCGACUACCGGCGUUGCUGGAAGUUUUGCAAUCUUCUCUGUAAGCUUGGUAUCCUAACAUUUCCCAUGAAGUACCAGGGGUGGGCCUUCCUUUCGGUGAUGAAGGUACCUUGGGUGCGAUUUUCCGCGUUUCUACAUUUAAAAAGUGACGUUUUCGCCUGGAAAAAAAGAAAGAAAAAAAGGAAAAAGGAAAACUGACAUUUGUGGCUGUGUUGAUGCCUCUCUGUUUUCUGCAUCCAGUCCCUCUCCUUUCCCAGCUGCUCUGGGCCACAAGAGGCUGUAGGAAGAGGCUACAUCACCUGGCUGCCUUGCCUUCUGGGUUUUGGUUGGGUCAAGCCUGAGGCGGCAGUGAAAGGGAAGAGGGGGAGACUGGAAUAGGAGAUGUAGAGAGCAGCAUGUGCGAGGCCAAAGUUUGGACUGAAUUCCAUACCUAGUGGGACACUGAGCGGGAUUUUAAGUGGGGGAGGAAGAUGGUCAAAGAUCAAAGUGGCAAAUUAAGACAGUUAAUUUGAUGGCCCUCGACAAGCUAGAGGAAGGCUGAAGGCAGGCAGCCCCAUGGGGGCUGGGAUUGCAGCAGUUCCACUGAACUUGUGUUUGUUGACCACGACGGGGUAAAAGGAUAGCUGAUUGAGAGACAUUUCCAAAGCAAGUGAUCCAAUCCCGGGGGUGGAUAUGUUAAGGAAUUGUGUAGUGACAUUGCUACACGGACAUUGCUAUAACGGACAGGCAGCUGCCUUUCUAGAGUGACAUCCACAGGGCUCUUUGCAGGGACGUGCUACCUGGUAGCUAAAGUCAUCUUGUUACUAAAGCCAAACACCACCGUUGCGUUUUCUCUUUUGUUUGAUUUCUAGGUCUUAGAAUAUUAUAGUGUCUUUUU
This is a long non-coding RNA of Lynx canadensis (Canada lynx), 1160 nucleotides long. RefSeq lists it as uncharacterized. Lineage: Eukaryota; Metazoa; Chordata; Mammalia; Carnivora; Felidae. The record is from RefSeq and is a predicted model, not a curated record. The transcript is spliced from 2 exons.